GACGAACGCUGGCGGCGUGCUUAACACAUGCAAGUCGAACGGAAAGGCCCUGCUCUUGUGGGGUGCACGAGUGGCGAACGGGUGAGUAACACGUGAGUAACCUGCCCUUGACUUUGGGAUAACUUCAGGAAACUGGGGCUAAUACCGGAUAGGAGCUCCUGCUGCAUGGUGGGGGUUGGAAAGUUUCGGCGGUUGGGGAUGGACUCGCGGCUUAUCAGCUUGUUGGUGGGGUAGGGGUUUACCAAGGCUUUGACGGUUAUCCGGCCUGAGAGGGUGGCCGGCGACAUUAGGACUGAGAUAGGCACCAGUCGCGAACGGGAGGCAGCAGGGGAGAGUAUUGCACAGCGGGCGGAAGCGUGAGGCGACAGCGCCGCGAGCGGAAAGACGGCCUUCGAGUUGUAAACCGCUUUCGCCUGAGACGAAGCGAGAGUGACGGUAAUGGGUAAGAAAGCACCGGCUAACUACGUG
Molecule: ribosomal RNA, 468 nt
Filed under: uncultured bacterium
Lineage: Bacteria
Description: partial 16S ribosomal RNA
Rfam family: Bacterial small subunit ribosomal RNA
Source: RNAcentral